CUAACUGCCACCAAGGCUUCACCCCGGCCCAAGCUUACCCCAAACCCAGACACUUGGGAUUAUAUAGAGAUUCAAGAGCAGUCAAGGAUGCCAGGGAAUCCAGUCAGGCAUGUCUCCCCUCCCCAUUUUGCUUUUAUUUAUGUUCACAGAACCAACGGGUUAAAAAAAAAACGCUGAGUUUCUGGAUCCAGUUCCGGCUUUUUGAAGGAUACCCUCAUCCCCUGAUUCUGCUCACGACACAAUGCCCACAGGGUUCAGGAGCAACCACAGGUAUCCCCAAAGAUCCUGACCUGAGAAUAAAUACCUCCACAAUACUAAACCAGUUUCAGAGUGCCGGUCCUCGAACACUACCUUCUGGAGGAAUCUGCCUCAUUGACAGGUGCUGCGGUCCUCAUCCGUCAUUUCUUUACCAUCUGACUCUGACCACAGGUAAUUGGGCCAGAAGUGACAUUUGACCUACUGGGGAGACCAUCCAUAAACCGUCCAGCAACCUCUAUCUUAUAUGAUCUGGCUUUAAAAAAUGAGCCAGACCAGUCUGGUUCCUCUCUUGAGAAUUCAAACUAAAAGCCUGCCAAGGAAAUUGUCAGAUGGCGGCGGGAGCGGCACUACCAUUGAAAAUCCAAACCGAACUGAGACGAGGGUGGCCAUUACGGCCCAUGUGCAAGGCAAAUGCAGAUCUACACCAGGGCUGGAAGUGUGGCCAGUGAGGAUGAUCUGAAUUUGAGCCCUGCUCCCCCUGGGCUGGAUGCCUUUUUGCAGUGGACUGCCUGCCAGAUGGUAUGUGGCUACUCUGUCCUCUAGGUAAGAAAGGCCCUACCUUAAAAGCUGCAACAACAGAGACUUCCCAGACUCAGAGAGUGGCAGUGCUAGGAGAAGGGAAGGGAGGGUGGCAGUGGUUAGAGAUGCCCCUGAAAAUCCUGGGAGCUAUCUAUGCUCUCUAACCAAAAAGUACCCCUACACACAUGCACACACAGACACACGAUGAAACACACACCCAGACACACACACACACACACACACACAAUUUAGCCUCCUUCCUGGGAGUGGCAGGCCCUCCAUUACUGUCACUCCCAGCCUGAGUCCUCGAUGGAAUCCA
This 1096-nucleotide long non-coding RNA is filed under the name Equus caballus (horse). RNAcentral describes it as "lncRNA (ENSECAG00000047105.1)". The record is from RNAcentral. Lineage: Eukaryota; Metazoa; Chordata; Mammalia; Perissodactyla; Equidae.